GAAAUAUGGUAAAAGUUCCGUGCUUCAUAAUGUGAAAAAUCUAUUUUUCCUUACAUUGCUGAUUUUCUUUACAGAUUUUUUAUCCUACCUUCGUUUUGGCUCUCUUGUGGGUGGAGGAGGGUUUUUUUUGGAGUUCUCUCUUUUAGAGAAAUGUUACCUCAUCUAAGAAACUCUUACGAAAACUGAACCUUGACAGCUUAAGUUGAAAAAUACUCUCAAUACAUGAAGUUGGAUGAUUUCAGCCACAUCAAUUGGAUGCCUCAAAGUGCAGUCAAAACUCGACAAGAAAGGGAAAAAAUCAUAUUCACAUGACUAUUUUUUAGUUGAACAUUGACCAUUGUUAGCAGGCGGUGCACUGAAAUUGACAUCUCCUUGAAAUCUGUUGAAUUUAUUUUUCCACAAGCAUCGCAGGAUUCCUGAUCCUUAUCCCUCAAUAUCGUUCGUUUGGGUGCACUCGUUUGUGCCUUCAUGGCCAGCCAAGGCCGGCUGCCAGUCAGCUGAUAAUCAAGUUGUCUUAACUCUGGGUAUAAAGGGACUCUACAAGUGCCGAUUCUGUGUGUUAAUCGGUUUACUGCAUGCGACUGCCGAAAGACCUCAUCAAGAUUGCUUUAUACCUCUCCAUUUGGAAAAAAGUCUUCAUGAAGCUGAAAAAAGCUUUGCAGUGAAAUCUCCCGCCACAAUGGUGAAGGCAGGGGGCAGCCCAAAAUCGUUAGAUGAGAAUCAAAAUUUGCAGCAAUACAAUCUACUUAAAUGUUCAUCACAUAUGCAGGUGCCAAGGACCAACAAGUCUGAAGGUAUUUUGAGUCAAUAAUCAUUAUCUGCAUUGGAGUUGGUCAAAAUUCUUUUUUUCAAUGUGAAAAUAUCUGCGUAGAGCAAGAAUUUCUCAUAGCUCAAAUAAUGGAGCUCUGAUAUUAUUUUUUAUCUCUCCAAGUUCUUUCAGUAUCUUUACAGUUUCAUGAAAAAUUGUUAACACUGAAGUGAAUUUUAAGGGAGAUGGCAGUAUCUAAUUUUUUUAACCCCCCCCCCCAAAAAAAAGAAAGAGAAAAAAAUUGUUGGUUUUUUUCUAAUCAAAGUCUACUGUAUUCAACUUAUUUCAAGACCAUGUUUUUCUAAAAUCAGACCGUUAUUGAAUAAGUUACAUAACAUUUUGUGACUAACUGAGUGAUGCAACUUCUGGGUGAUUGAAACUUCAAACUGGUUUUCCUCAAAACAACAUUUUUUUUUAUCUUAUGGCACAUUUUGCCCAGGAUCUUCUAGGUGGAUUUUCGAAAACAAAAAAUUGUUUUUUUAACCUUUUUCUCUAACUACAGACAAGAGGGUGUUCCUCCUUCCUAUUAUUCAGAAGGAGAAAAAAAAUUAGUGUAAAGGCCUUAUUUUCUAUUUUUUUAUUUUUUAAUUAAUGAAAAUUUCAAUUUUCAGAAUUUUCAAAAAUCCUUUCAUCUUCAGCUAGAAAGCAGUCCUAGGAAUCAAACGAAAAUCUUUUUUAAAAAUCCGUCCAGUGGAACCUGUGAAAAGUGUACCUUAGUAUCAGUACUGAAGUUAAUGAUACAGUUAAUGGUGAAGAUAGCAACUCCUCUUAAUAUUAUGAUAUGCUCUGUACUCAUUUGCAUUCAUUGCAAUACCAAGUGCCUGCAAUUUUUUAUUUCUGAAAACCUGAGCAUCAUUAAUCCCAAUAUUACUUGAGAUUUUUCCUUAUGAGAAUCCCAAAGACUGUAUUCCCAGUUAAAGCAUCCAUCAACGUAUCCAGAAAUAAUCAUUUCUUGCAUUUUCAGCAGUAAUUAAAAAAAGUAGCAGGUAUUUUUUUACUCAUGCUCUCGCAAAAAUAAUUUUUUGUAUGUCAUUGGAGACUGUUCAUAAAGUACUAAACACUCCAGAAAGGGGAGGGGAUCAAGCUUGCGUCACUGGAGGGGGGGGGAGUCCAUGGCUGUGUUACCCAGUGCUGAAAGACGCCUGUUUAAAAUGAAAAAUCUGUGCAAGAUGGUAGUUAUUCAUCCGAAAUCCACCUCGAAACGCCAUUUUGGUAGGCUUCCGAAUUCUGUGUUGAAAGUUCUUCUGCACCUUUGCUUCUCCUGUACCCUGUGAUCCUGUCUCCCCAAUGUUUGCCUCGUCAUCGCCUAGGAAUGGCUGCAUUCUGAAGAUCAGUGUAGUUGCACUGUUCAAUGAGUACAAUUAGCGUCUCUGUGCACCAAUUGCAUGCAUUGUUGAUCAAAGAGGCCUCUCUGAAUUACGAGUAGGAUGGGUAGGCUCUUUGGAAAGACCCAUUUCAUCCUCGAUGAAGAUUCUAAAGGUUGAAACCCCAAAAUCAGAUCUUCAAGUUAACAUAUGUGUUUCUUUUUUCCUCUUUAUUGGGUUGUAUCACGGUGCCCACAUUUCCUUGUGAAUGCCCAAUAAGAAUUUUUAUUCACAUCGUUCAUGAAGCUUUCACCACUAGCAUUACUUUCGGACAAGAUUGCCUGAUAUCUUGAGUCAGACCUGCACCUGCCAGUUAUAUACAGUCUGCUGCAGCACUAUGAACAUUAUUUGUCGUGGUCUUUGUAGAAGGUCCAGGCAAACAAGGGUCAUUUUCGUCAUCAUCAUCAGUCAACUCUCCACUGGUGAAAUAUUAUCGUUUCUCAAUGGCGAUAUAGUCCAAAACAAAAUCAUGGUCUUGCAAAUCACUUUCAGGCCACAAACAGAUAGGUAGUUAGUUGCUUAAAGGUGAGGCAUAAAUUUUCUGUUGAUAAAGGUACCCUACCUAGAUCAACUGGUCCUAAUAGCUUUUAUUUCUCUUCAGCGUACCGAUUAUUUUUACACCGAGCAGCUGUUUUUCAAAUUCCUUUUCCAGCUGAUCAAACACUUGAUUUUCUGUUAAGUCUUUUGGCAACAUUACUAGGUCUCGCACCUAUUUUUUCUUGUCAUAAAAGCGUACCUCAUCAUGUGAAAGAGGUGUCCUUUUUUUUACUUUGAGUUAAUUAAAACGACUCUUCCUUCAAUGAUAGAGAAAUUCAUCUUGGUAGAAAAACUGACUCUAAAGUUCUGCCAAGCAUGAAUCGUUAUCUCAUACCCCUUUUGAAAUGAUAUUUACUUUUAAACCUGCUGAUCCUUUAACCUUGAUGUGGAAAAUUAACGAUUUGAUAUCGCCCAAGACCCAAGAUGUUGUGAAAGGGAAAAUACAAUCAAACAAUUCUUCGUCUUGAAGAUGCGGUUGCUCCUUCAUCCUUAAAAUUCGCCCAAUAAAUUUCAACAAAAGUUCUCGAUCCAAACCAUCAAUGUGGGGUAGGUCUCGUACCAUCUUCUCUAAGGGAUUGCGAAGUUUAGAAAAAUUCUUGGACGAACGCUGAGAUGAUCGUGAGUUAAAGAAGGCAUAAGAUGCCAAGUUGGAGUCAGAAUCUUGAAAUGCCAACCUGGGAGAGUUGUUGAUGUUCUUGCGAACAUCAACAUCAUCUAUGGAAUCGUACGGCAUGAAGAACCAACGAUAUGUCCUAUUGGUGUAUACUUCGCAUGAUUCAAAAUGUAUUCCGGGUUGUGUGUCCUAGACAAGGGAAAAGAAAAGGUCGCUUAAGUUGCCCUUCCCGUGGGGGUCCAUAUCGAAUUGCGUGUAAAUGUCCAAACCAGACUGUUUGAUCAUCGACGACUCGUCACGGGUACAAGCCCAGGUGCAUCCAAUAGGGAACUUCAUCUUGAUAGAAAAGCUGACUCCAGAAGUUAAUAGUUCAUGCCAGUAUCAUUA
Molecule: long non-coding RNA, 3709 nt
Filed under: Bemisia tabaci
Lineage: Eukaryota; Metazoa; Arthropoda; Insecta; Hemiptera; Aleyrodidae
Description: lncRNA ENSASIAIIG010711
Source: RNAcentral